GGACCCGUAGCUCAGUUGGUUAGAGUGUUACCUUGACAUGGUAAAGGUCAGAGGUUCGAGCCCUCUCGGGUCCACCA
RNAcentral lists this transfer RNA (77 nucleotides) under Candidatus Omnitrophota bacterium. Its description in RNAcentral is "tRNA-Val". It matches the Rfam family "tRNA". Rfam says of the family: Transfer RNA (tRNA) molecules are approximately 80 nucleotides in length. Their secondary structure includes four short double-helical elements and three loops (D, anti-codon, and T loops). The record is from RNAcentral. Lineage: Bacteria; Pseudomonadati; Candidatus Omnitrophota.